GACGAACCGUGCGAACGUUAUUCGGAAUCACUGGGCUUAAAGCGCGUGUAGGCGGGUCGGCACGUCCGUCGCUGAAAUCCCCCGGCUCAACCGGGGAAGGGGCGCGGAUACGACCGUCCUGGAGGGGGGUAGGGGGCGCUGGAACUUCCGGUGGAGCGGUGAAAUGCGUUGAGAUCGGAAGGAACGCCCGUGGCGAAAGCGAGCGCCUGGACCCCGCCUGACGCUGAGACGCGAAAGCUAGGGGAGCGAACGGG
RNAcentral lists this ribosomal RNA (254 nucleotides) under uncultured Singulisphaera sp. Its description in RNAcentral is "partial 16S ribosomal RNA". It matches the Rfam family "Bacterial small subunit ribosomal RNA", at positions 524 to 776 of the family's 1533-position model. Lineage: Bacteria; Pseudomonadati; Planctomycetota; Planctomycetia; Isosphaerales; Isosphaeraceae. The record is from RNAcentral.